ACCAGUUUUCCUAAAAAAUAAAAAUAAAAACUUAAAACAUAAAUCACUAGAUUUCCUUUGCAAUGCUCAAAGUCUUCUUCUCCGUGUAUAGUGUAUAUCUGUGGCAGAAUUACAGCGCCCCAUACUGGUCCGGUGUUGUGUCGAAGUCUGUUCCCUCUAUGUUCCCCCUUCAGUGUAGCGCUCUCCACGCAAACAGCGUACAGCGCGCGGGCGUGUGAUCGUUUCACUGCGCGUGCUCGUUUUAGGGGCGAAUCAGCGGGAAAGAGUAUCAUGUUUUCAUUGCGUUACGUUUAUUAUGUAUUUAUAUUGUAUUUUUAGAUUCUUUUUUGCUAAUUAUUUGUACAGUAUAAAUUGCUAGGGUACACAUAUCGCUCAUUAAAGCUAGUGCCUGUCCAUUCAAUAAUAAUCCUAAUAAAAUAUGCAUGAAUGCAUACGUAGAAACAAUAAAUACUGAGCACACUGAACGAUAAUGAAAUAGUGCUUUAAAGUCUAUUAAUAUUUCUGUUUAUUUUAAUUAAAGAAAUAUGUUAAAUGGGCUCUAAACAGGUCACUUCUUGUCUGUACAGCACUGAUAGAAGCACUUCAUUUUCAUCUUUUAACAAAUAUCUUAUAUCUUUUAUUAUGAUAUCAUUGGCAGAGGCGCGCGUCCGUCUCGUGCUUUGUGAUCACGUAAUUAUAAACGCGCGUUCUGGAUUUACCGAUUUUCUCCUCAGACAAGUGUUUCUGUUUUGUGGUCGAUUCUGGGUGAAUUUUCACAGGACGUGCAGGUUUAAAUAAGGAGACUAGAGUCGGAGCAGACCUGGGAUGCUAAAGGGUCACGCCCCUUCCCAGUUUCCACCUCGAGGAGGUCCCAAUGCCACCCCAAUGACCAGACACACAAAGUACAAGUAAAAUUAAAUGGAACUUUAUUUAAAUUAUUUAAAAUAGUUGAUUCCGGGAGGGGAAAGGGGAACUUAAAAUAAAGGCCUCUUCUGGCCUCCAGGUGAAGCUUUCUUAAAGGGGAGGGGAUGGGACUCUUUGGGGUUUCCUCCUUGAAUCCGUGGCACCCUCCGUUUAUCCUGGAGGCAGAACUUCAGGGGGAGCAGACUGCAGCUACGGUCAGUACUCUUCGGUAACUCAUUCACUUCUGCAACACAGAAUUGUUACUUUGUAAAUAACUGCAACUUUUCUCUCUCUCUCUUACAGUUAGCUGGUAGCAGGGGAUCCGGUAAGUGCUCUUCAAGUAACUGGCUCGUGUCUCCUCCUCACACUUCACUGUUAGCUGCGACUUUUCUUCCUUACAGGUGGCUGGUAGCAGUGGAUACGGUAAGGACUCUCCAGAUGACUGGCUCGUGGUCUCCUCCUCUAGAGGGUUCGUGAGUUGUUGCAUGCCUCUGUGAAACUGACAAUCUCUGGUUGCUGCUGGUUUGUGGUUGGCAGUAUGGUUCACGAUCUGCGACCCAUGAUGAGCUGGGCUGGAGACAUGAAGAGGUUGUUAACAGGUGAAGAGGUCUGAAGCUAAUACCUGCCAUGGUCUGAUUGGUAUUUCAUGAGGAAUCAUGGGGUCCAUGGUAUUUGAAUUAUGUUGCACCAGGC
This is a non-coding RNA of Misgurnus anguillicaudatus (oriental weatherfish), 1575 nucleotides long. Lineage: Eukaryota; Metazoa; Chordata; Actinopteri; Cypriniformes; Cobitidae. The record is from RefSeq and is a predicted model, not a curated record.